CUUCUCCCUGCUUUUGGGCUAAGUCCUUGACGGCCCAAGAGCUCAAGACCUCUACAGCCUCUUGUACCCUGGGAAGACGCCCAAAUAGUCUCAGGCCCGUUCCACAGAAGGUUGGAAGAGCCCCCCAAAGACCGCGGUGUCUCGGGGACAUGGAAUUCCGUGGUCCUGGGGCGCUGCUAAGAUCCGGGUGUCUGGACCCUGGGGUGGGACGGAGUGACCGUGAAGAUAGAAAAAAA
This 236-nucleotide long non-coding RNA is filed under the name Homo sapiens (human). Its description in RNAcentral is "HSALNT0160187". Lineage: Eukaryota; Metazoa; Chordata; Mammalia; Primates; Hominidae. The record is from RNAcentral.